RNAcentral lists this long non-coding RNA (214 nucleotides) under Helianthus annuus (common sunflower). Its description in RNAcentral is "sRNA HanXRQr2_Chr05g0225951". Lineage: Eukaryota; Viridiplantae; Streptophyta; Magnoliopsida; Asterales; Asteraceae. The record is from RNAcentral.
GGUGUUACAUAUGUGUGAAUAGUUCCUUGAAGAUGUUGAGAUUGGUGGAGAACGAAAAGUAGGUCGUGGUACCAAAGUCAUCGAAGCAGCAAAGCAGUCGGAGAAGUAGGUGGAGUCGGUUUAUCUUAAUGAGGUUACGUCGUUUCUUUACAAAUAGAUUUCCGCCGAAUACCGUUGUUGACGAACUCUCAGACCAAUGACCGAUUGAAUGGAG